CUUGUGCCGGUUCAGAGAACAGCAUCCUCCCUCCGUUCACCACACUGAUUCGAUCUUUCCUCUUCCCUUCAAAGUUCCUUAAUCGCUUAGCCCGGGUUUCGCACUAGCUCCACAACCGAAAAUAAAUAUAUUCUGUGUUGGGUCAGGAACUAAGCGAUCUCAGCUAUCUCAGCGAAACUCCACCGCUCCAAUCCUAGACGGUUGGUUGGAUAGCGUCUCUCGGCAAAAAGCUCUUUAAAUGAAAACUGAGUGCUCUGGUGGGGUCUCCUCCGACGGUUAAAGUCUCCCCAAGCAAGCUUUGCCAAAAGUUCAGGGACUUCGAGGAAACCAAACAAAUAUCUGCAAAUGUCUUCGUACUUGACAUUUUCAACCAGUUUCCAGAGCAUGAUGGCAGCCUGUUCUCUAGGAGGCAUCUUUAGGUUCAUAAACCCAUCUAGAGAGGAGCCCUCUGCUGGUGGUUGUUAGCUUAGUAGAAACUGUAUAUCGUAAAUUAUCCAGCUCUGCCACUACUAGGAGUAUACCCCAAAGACAUCAAAGAAGGAGGAAUAGCAUCUAUUUGUAGAACAAUAUUUGUAGCAGUUCUUUUCAUAAUAGUCAAAAUCAGAAACUCAAGGAGCACCUUUAUUGCUUCCCACCUUUAGUGAGGACUGGCUAAACAAUUAGUGUAUAUGAAUGUAAUAGAAUAUUAGUAUGCCAAGAGAACUGACUGAAUGGACAGCUUCAAGGACACUGGAAAGACCUCUACAAGCUAAUGAGUAAACCAAGCUGAGUUAGAACAACUUAACUGAUGAUAGCAUCACAGAAAAAAACAAUUUUGAAACACUUUAGAAUUCUGUUCAAUGCAAAUGACUGAAGAAGAAAUAUGCCACUCACCUCUUGCCAGAGAGAAUGCAAGAUGAGGCAUACAU
Non-coding RNA from Phascolarctos cinereus (koala), 908 nucleotides. The record is from RefSeq and is a predicted model, not a curated record. NCBI's taxonomy places the organism in Eukaryota, Metazoa, Chordata, Mammalia, Diprotodontia, Phascolarctidae.